This 811-nucleotide ribosomal RNA is filed under the name Salmonella enterica. RNAcentral describes it as "partial 23S ribosomal RNA". It matches the Rfam family "Bacterial large subunit ribosomal RNA", at positions 479 to 1190 of the family's 2925-position model. The record is from RNAcentral. Lineage: Bacteria; Pseudomonadati; Pseudomonadota; Gammaproteobacteria; Enterobacterales; Enterobacteriaceae.
ACUGACCGAUAGUGAACCAGUACCGUGAGGGAAAGGCGAAAAGAACCCCGGCGAGGGGAGUGAAAAAGAACCUGAAACCGUGUACGUACAAGCAGUGGGAGCCCCACCACUAAGCCAGUGGUGAACUCCACAUACGCAUCCUUUGCUGAGGAUACGGUUAACGGAGCGAAAGCGACGUUCAACCUCAAAAGAAGCAGAGGGGGCUUAGUGGUGGGGUGACUGCGUACCUUUUGUAUAAUGGGUCAGCGACUUAUAUUCUGUAGCAAGGUUAACCGAAUAGGGGAGCCGGAGGGAAACCGAGUCUUAAUUGGGCGUUAAGUUGCAGGGUAUAGACCCGAAACCCGGUGAUCUAGCCAUGGGCAGGUUGAAGGUUGGGUAACACUAACUGGAGGACCGAACCGACUAAUGUUGAAAAAUUAGCGGAUGACCUGUGGCUGGGGGUGAAAGGCCAAUCAAACCGGGAGAUAGCUGGUUCUCCCCGAAAGCUAUUUAGGUAGCGCCUCGUGAAUUCAUCUCCGGGGGUAGAGCACUGUUUCGGCUAGGGGGCCAUCCCGGCUUACCAACCCGAUGCAAACUGCGAAUACCGGAGAAUGUUAUCACGGGAGACACACGGCGGGUGCUAACGUCCGUCGUGAAGAGGGAAACAACCCAGACCGCCAGCUAAGGUCCCAAAGUCAUGGUUAAGUGGGAAACGAUGUGGGAAGGCCCAGACAGCCAGGAUGUUGGCUUAGAAGCAGCCAUCAUUUAAAGAAAGCGUAAUAGCUCACUGGUCGAGUCGGCCUGCGCGGAAGAUGUAACGGGGCUAAACCAU